AACACAUGCAAGUCGAGCGGUAACAGAAAUUAGCUUGCUAAUUUGCUGACGAGCGGCGGACGGGUGAGUAAUGCCUGGGAAUAUGCCUUAGUGUGGGGGAUAACUAUUGGAAACGAUAGCUAAUACCGCAUAAUGUCUUCGGACCAAAGAGGGGGACCUUCGGGCCUCUCGCGCUAAGAUUAGCCCAGGUGAGAUUAGCUAGUUGGUGAGGUAAGAGCUCACCAAGGCGACGAUCUCUAGCUGGUCUGAGAGGAUGAUCAGCCACACUGGAACUGAGACACGGUCCAGACUCCUACGGGAGGCAGCAGUGGGGAAUAUUGCACAAUGGGCGAAAGCCUGAUGCAGCCAUGCCGCGUGUAUGAAGAAGGCCUUCGGGUUGUAAAGUACUUUCAGUCGUGAGGAAGGGUGUGUAGUUAAUAGCUGCACAUCUUGACGUUAGCGACAGAAGAAGCACCGGCUAACUCCGUGCCAGCAGCCGCGGUAAUACGGAGGGUGCGAGCGUUAAUCGGAAUUACUGGGCGUAAAGCGCAUGCAGGUGGUUCAUUAAGUCAGAUGUGAAAGCCCGGGGCUCAACCUCGGAACCGUAUUUGAAACUGGUGAACUAGAGUGCUGUAGAGGGGGGUAGAAUUUCAGUUGUAGCGGUGAAAUGCGUAGAGAUCUGAAGGAAUACCAGUGGCCGAAGCGCCCCUGGACAGACACUGACACUCAGAUG
This 712-nucleotide ribosomal RNA is filed under the name uncultured Vibrio sp. RNAcentral describes it as "bacterial SSU rRNA". It matches the Rfam family "Bacterial small subunit ribosomal RNA", at positions 50 to 753 of the family's 1533-position model. The record is from RNAcentral. Lineage: Bacteria; Pseudomonadati; Pseudomonadota; Gammaproteobacteria; Vibrionales; Vibrionaceae.